UUUCUGCGACGCAGCUAACGCAUUAAGUGCCCCGCCUGGGGAGUACGAUCGCAAGAUUAAACUCAAAGGAAUUGACGGGGCCCCGCACAAGCAGCGGAGCAUGCGGCUUAAUUCGACGCAACGCGAAGAACCUUACCAAGGCUUGACAUAUAGGGAAAAGUGGCAGAGAUGUCAUGUCCGCAAGGGCUCUAUACAGGUGGUGCAUGGUUGUCGUCAGCUCGUGUCGUGAGAUGUUGGGUUAAGUCCCGCAACGAGCGCAACCCUCGUUCUGUGUUGCCAGCAUUUAGUUGGGGACUCACAGGAGACUGCCGGGGUUAACUCGGAGGAAGGUGGGGAUGACGUCAAAUCAUCAUGCCCCUUAUGUCUUGGGCUGCACGCAUGCUACAAUGGCCGGUACAGAGGGCUGCGAUACCGUAAGGUGGAGCGAAUCCCAAAAAGCCGGUCUCAGUUCGGAUUGAGGUCUGCAACUCGACCUCAUGAAGUCGGAGUUGCUAGUAAUCGUAGAUCAGCAUCGCUACGGUGAAUACGUUCCCGGGGCUUGUACACACCGCCCGUCACGUCACGAAAGUCGGUAUCA
RNAcentral lists this ribosomal RNA (577 nucleotides) under uncultured Actinomycetes bacterium. Its description in RNAcentral is "bacterial SSU rRNA". It matches the Rfam family "Bacterial small subunit ribosomal RNA", at positions 838 to 1419 of the family's 1533-position model. Lineage: Bacteria; Bacillati; Actinomycetota; Actinomycetes. The record is from RNAcentral.